UCUGACCUGCGCCCGCGGCCUGGGCCCAUGCACUUUGGGGCUGGGGGGCGGGGGAGGUCACUGGGGGUACUGGGAGUCAUUGGUGGUAAUGGGCCACAACUGUAAUGACUACUAAUUAAAGCAUUGUCCCCGGAUGCCUGGGCUCUGUGGCUCCUUCCCCCGUCCCAGGCUCCCAGCAGACCCUGUAGCGCUGCUCCCUGCACUUGCGCUGUGGGGCUGUGGUCCGGUCUCUUCCCAGCAUGCACCAGAUGUCCUGCCGGGACUGACCCUGGGACAUCUCUUCCUCCGGGGGGGCUUGAGCUGCCCCCCUGCCCCCAAUCCUCUGGGUGUAGCACAGAGUUAGGCCCAGGUUCCCUUGGGUCUCACUGCUGCAGCAGCGGGGCUAGGGCUCGGGCAGGGUCUGAAGCAGGGCAGGGAGACGCAACAUAGCUCACUGGCCGGGUCUGGCUGCCGGGAGAUUUUCUCUAGCUCGCAGUGAGUCUGUUGGCCUCACUUGGCCCAAACGCCCGUGGUGCUGGACAGGGCAGAGACCAGCUGCCCCCACUGGCUCCAGGUGCUGUGCACCUUUGUUCGGAACCGUCCUUGUAGGAAGGGAUUCGGUGCUGACUCAUCCUUGUGCCAAUGCAGGGACAAACUGUCUGGCUGUUGCCCUUUUCGCCUGGGUACUUCCACUUGCUCACGAGCCCGUUACUGAAUUUUCCCUUAUUUUGUCAUCUGCUCGUUCUCGGGUCCUGCUCAGUCCCCUAGCUGUCCCUCUGACUCCUCUUUGGGCCUCUGCUCAAAAGGGGGCUGGGUAGAACAGCACUUAUGGUGCAGGGCUUCUGCAUUGGCAGCUCUCAGCAGCACCUGUUUGCCCCCAGGGCCAGCAGAAAAAGGCUGCGGCAGUGAUAUGGGUACCAGAGUCCUGCCCGUGAGAGAGGAGUGAGGUGCACCUGCAGGGCUGGGGUGGGCAGGGGCUGUGGGUUUGGAGUGAGGGGCUCCCUUGCCUGCGCUGGGGGUCUGGUGACUCCUGCUCGGGCCCUGCACAGCCAUUGGCGGGGACCUGGGGCAUCUGGGUGCUCCAUGGGAUGAGUGGGGCCAGGGUGGCUUGUGCAGGAAACUGAGCUGGGGGGGAAAAGGUUAGUGGCCAGAAUGGGGGGAGGGUGGCCUGGAUGCCUGGGUUCUUUGUGGGGGGGGGGGAGAGGAAAGCAGAGCAGGGGGUGAUGACAUUCUCCUCUUGGGGGAAGGGAGCACCAAUAACAUCCUCUAGCCUGCCCCAGUCCAGGUGCAGCCCAGUCCCGGGAGAGGACCCUGCUAUGGUCUGGGAGGUGGCAAGAUGGAGGAAGGGGAACAGAGCAGGGCAUGGGACAUGGGGACAGAAGCCCAAAUGCCUGGGUUCUCUCUUUUCUGGGGGGGGACUGCAGCACCCCGAUCUCUCCCACGUAGCAGGAGGUACCUGGGCAGCACAGGCUGGAGUUGCCUGUGCAGGACGGGGCCAGGGAGAUGCUGCAGGGGGACACCUAGUGCCUGAAUGGGACCAACAUCCCUGAGACCAGAGCCGAUCCCAAGAAUGGGGAAGCUGAGGCUUCAGCACAGAAGAAACAUUUUCAUGUAUUCAUUGUUUGCAUCGCAGUGCUGGUUUACUGGUGCCAUCUCCGGUAGUACGCCUGCGUGAGACACUGCAGCAGAAUGACACCCUGGUGUCUUCCUCCGGUCCCCGCUUCCAAUCCUACUGGCAUUUCUACACGGGAGGGUGUCGGACCCUGGCCUGAUGUGUGCAACUUAACCCACAGCAGUGAUGUGGACAACCAGCAAAUCCUCCACUACGACAGCGAGACGCAGACACGGGAGCUACCUGGGGACUAGGUGCAGGGGACUGUUGGCCCAGACUUCUGGGAUGACGAAAGCAGGGCCUUGCGGGACUGGCAGGGGGGAUUUCGAACGAACCUGGCCACACUGCGGCAGCACUACAAGCAGACCAGGGCUUUGCAGAAUGGCAAAGAGACUGUUGAGUUUGGACUUUUUCUGUUCAAAGGAGGCUGAGACUCCAGCCCCGAGCACAGGCAGUGCAGUUACAGUGAGAGUGACCCUCUAGAUUAGGUUGCCACAUUAUGCACAAGCACUCGUAGAGAUGUUAGUAUAGCUUCCAGCAGCAGAGGCCCUUGUUUUGGGCCAGAUGCAGCUUCGUAAUAUAUUGAGGAAGGGCCGUAUCAGCCCAUAAUUGCAUUCCAGGCACCCUGUCUGGCAAUAAAAUAAGAAAAUUCAGAAAAGAAUGGUACAGUGAUCACAAAUGGCUUGCAUACAGUGUCCAUCAGGAUACAGCUUUCUGUUUCUGUGGCUGAGCAUUUGGCAGUUCCCAAAUGGGUGACCAAGCAUCACAACUUGACAGAGGGAAAAAAACAGUGGAUGAAAACUGAGCACACUUACAAAGUGCAUCACAGACUGUGUUUUGUGCUCGCCGAGGCAUACCUGUUGAGGGAGCUGAUUCCACAAAUCAUGGAAACUUGUGGGAAUUGAUGAAACUGCAUAGUGAAGACAACAAAGUGAUUCAGCGGUUUAUGAUUAACCGAGACAAGUUCUUCACCUACCUACACAGCUCCUGUCAAAAUGAAAUACUUGAAAUUAUGGCUUCAAGUCCCAGAAUUCAAUAGUAAGAGAAGCAAAGGAAGCUGGAGUGUUUUGCAAUCAUUGCAGAUGAACCAAUGGAUCUCUCUAGGCAUGAAAAAGUCAUUCUCACACUGCGAUAUAUAAACCAGUCCUUUUGAAGUAUAAGAAUGAUUUAUUGGCUUCUAUAGGAUGCUGCAGAUGGUGCUUCACUUGCCACGCUGAUCAAGGCUGCUUUGUUAGAAUAAAUAGUCUUGGAAAGAAGCCAAUGAGAUACUGCUUCUUUUUCUGGCGGACCAGUAACUCUUAAACCACUCAGUGACACGUGAUGGAACUGUCAAGUUAAGGCUAUCCAAGCUCUUUUAGAAAAUUUUGAUGAAGUAGUUGAAGCGCUGGAUGAAAUCAAACAUGGGGGUUCAAAAGCUAGAGUUAAAACUUGUGCACUUUGCCUGCAAGACUUCAACUUCCUGUAGUGUAUGCUACUUAUGAGGAGAGUGCUUAUGCAAACCAGUCACCUACCCAAACCUUUUCAAUCAAAAGUCUUUACAUUUCGUAGAGCAACAGUGAUGGCUAAAUCCACAGUGUCUGUACUUCAAAGACUGAGAAGUGAGGAGUUUGUGUCCCAAGUAUUCAACAACCCUUAUGAACCUUGCCAGAAAAAUGGGCAUCCUGGACCUUGUGUCCCUCCACAAAAGGGUUGUUCCCCGAACACUGGGAGAAGGGGAAAUGUCCUUCUUUGAGAAACCAGAGGACUGUUACAGGACAGAAAUACUAUACAGAGCUUUGGACACCCUUAUUAGUGACAUGGAAGAUGGCUUUGCUGGGAAUGACCUAAACGUUUUCAAAUCCCUGGAAGAUGUUCUCUUUUUUUGAGACCCUGUCAGAGGAAAGCAUAGGCACCAUUUUCAAAACUUACAAGAUUGCUCAAGAGGAUUUGCAGCCUGAGAUCAACAUGUCUUCCAAACUGUUUGAAAUGCAUGGCAGCACUGGUACGAGUAGCAAAGUGGAGUGCCCCCCGGCUUGAAAGAAGAAUGAAGUUAUUUACUGAAAUGUCACUGCUUGAUACCCUUCCAAAUCUGGGAAACCUCUUUGCACUUUACCUAACUAUUCAGUUACUACAGCAUUAGCAGAGAGAAGCUUUUCGUCACUGUGGCAGCUGAAAAAGUACCUGAGGGCUACGAUGACAGAUGCUCAUGUUUCUAACCUGGAAAUACUACAGAUUUAAAAAAUAAACUAUCAACGUACCUGAAAUCAUUGCACAGUUUGCCAGCAGAAAGGACCAACGUCUACAAUUCUUUUAACAAGCCCGCAAAGCCUCAGUGAGCCAAGCCCCAGAGCAUGAAGCCCUGGUGAGUUAAGCCUUGGAGAACAAAACCUUGGAGACUGAAGCCUUGCAGAACUCUGUUUAACGGAUCCCAAUGGAGCCUGUGCAGCCUUUGGAGGGGCCACAGAGCAAAAGGAACGCGCUACAGCCCAUUCGCACCUUCACUUCAGCCCUGAUUUAGCCUGAGUGCGCACUUAUUUUACCCUUCCAGGUAGAGGUGAGAUGCCCUCGGUGAUGAUUCUUACCAGGCAGACGGGCUGUGCCUGGGUCAUGCUCAAGGGCAGCAGCACUCAACUUUUUGGCCAGCUGAGCGGUUGGGGCCAUCUGCAGCCGUACUGGGCUCUGGGGCCUGGCCCCAGCCCUGCCUGCCCUGCACAUGCUGGGGCCAAGUCCGGGGGGGCUGUGCACCUGUCCUGCCCCCCUGCGUGCCAGGGUUCAGAUGCUGCUUCCCUACUGGCACUCCAUGGGUUGUAGGAAGCGUCAUGGGCUGGAUGCCCUGGCACUGCGGGCCAAAGGUCACUCUCCCUGCCCUGGAGCAUCUCGGUGUCGAAUUUUUGCAGGGCUGUUCAGCGUGUGCUGUUGCUUUGUGCUGCUCCAGCUUGCUCAGUGCACAGCGCCUGCUCCCUGCAACCUGGGGGGACCCCAGGAUGGCCAUGGGCACAGGACAUACAAAAGCCUGACAUAAAGCAGCUUGUGAUCUAGCUGGGUGCCUGGACAGCCCCAUUCAGGGGCACUGGCAGAGGAGGCUAAAUGCUCUGAUCUUUGGCCGUGGAUGCUGCUUCGGACAACGCACACCUUUUUUCCCUUUUUCUUCCUUCUCUCUUUUUUUGAGGUUGGGGAGGUGGGGCUAAGUGAGGAGAGCUUAAGAGUGCAAGACCUUUUUUUAUAUCAUUAAAAUGAAGUGUACGUUUUGUGUUUGUAUGCUUGCUUACAACUCGAGCAUGGCUAAUGUAUUGACUAAACCUUCCAAAAUCCCUGAAUAACACCUGAAGAAAAUCAUAGGCAGGUUAUUUUUCACUUGACCCUUUUUGGGGCUUUGAUUCACUGGGAUUACUUGGCUUCUGAGAUGGCAAACUGGUACUCCUCCAUUCUGGAUGCAGUGAAUUCAGUUCAAUUGUCAUCAUUAUAUACAUGCUCACCUUUUUUUUUUUCUCUCUACAUUGAAAGAACAGUGCUCAACAUAUUAUAAUUUAAAGGUAAAAAAUAUUUUUUACCUAAGUGUUGUACUGAGUUCUUUGAAAAUAAAUACACACUGUACUUACAGAAAUA
This is a long non-coding RNA of Alligator sinensis (Chinese alligator), 5176 nucleotides long. RefSeq lists it as uncharacterized. The record is from RefSeq and is a predicted model, not a curated record. The transcript is spliced from 8 exons. NCBI's taxonomy places the organism in Eukaryota, Metazoa, Chordata, Crocodylia, Alligatoridae.